This 273-nucleotide ribosomal RNA is filed under the name uncultured Roseburia sp. RNAcentral's name for it is "partial 16S ribosomal RNA". It matches the Rfam family "Bacterial small subunit ribosomal RNA", at positions 75 to 339 of the family's 1533-position model. The record is from RNAcentral. Lineage: Bacteria; Bacillati; Bacillota; Clostridia; Lachnospirales; Lachnospiraceae.
UUUCUUCGGAAUGACGAUUUAGUGACUGAGUGGCGGACGGGUGAGUAACGCGUGGGUAACCUGCCUUAUACAGGGGGAUAACAGUUAGAAAUGACUGCUAAUACCGCAUAAGCGCACAGGAUUGCAUGAUCUGGUGUGAAAAACUCCGGUGGUAUAAGAUGGACCCGCGUCUGAUUAGCUGGUUGGUGAGGUAACGGCCCACCAAGGCGACGAUCAGUAGCCGACCUGAGAGGGUGACCGGCCACAUUGGGACUGAGACACGGCCCAAACUCC